RNAcentral lists this ribosomal RNA (406 nucleotides) under uncultured bacterium. RNAcentral's name for it is "partial 16S ribosomal RNA". It matches the Rfam family "Bacterial small subunit ribosomal RNA", at positions 28 to 526 of the family's 1533-position model. The record is from RNAcentral.
GAUGAACGCUGGCGGCGUGCCUAAUACAUGCAAGUCGAACGAGUGGCGGACGGGUGAGUAAUGUCUGGGAAACUGCCCGAUGGAGGGGGAUAACUACUGGAAACGGUAGCUAAUACCGCAUACCAUCGGAUGUGCCCAGAUGGGAUUAGCUCGUGGGGGGGGUAACGGCUCACCUAGGCGACGAUCCCUAACUGGUCUGAGAGGAGUACUAGCCCCACUGGAACUGAGAGACGGUCCAGACUCCUACGGGAGGCAGCAGUGGGGAAUAUUGCACAAUGGGCGCAAGCCUGAUGCAGCCAUGCCGCGUGUAUGAAGAAGGCCUUCGGGUUGUAAAGUACUUUCAGCGAGGAGGCGUUACUCGCAGAAGAAGCACCGGCUAACUCCGUGCCAGCAGCCGCGGUAAUUC